GAUGAACGCUGGCGGCAUGCCUAACACAUGCAAGUCGAUCGGUAAGGCUCUUCGGAGUACACGAGAGGCGGACGGCUGAGUAACGCGUAGGAACACACCCUGCAGUGAGGGAUAAGACACCGAAAGGUGUUCUAAUACCGCAUACGGUCUUCGGAUUAAAGCAUUUAUGCGCUGAAGGAGUGGCCUGCGUCAUAUUAGAUAGUUGGUGAGGUAAUGGCUCACCAAGUCGAUGAUGUGUAGCUGGUCUGAGAGGAUGAUCAGCCAGACUGGAACUGAGACACGGUCCAGACUCCGACGGGAGGCAGCAGUGAGGAAUAUUUCACAAUGAGCGAAAGCGUGAUGGAGCAAUGCCGCGUGCAGGAUGAAGGCCCUAGGGUUGUAAACUGCUUUUAUAAGAGAAGAUUAUGACGGUAACUUAUGAAUAAGGGACGGCUAACUACGUG
This 443-nucleotide ribosomal RNA is filed under the name uncultured bacterium. Its description in RNAcentral is "partial 16S ribosomal RNA". It matches the Rfam family "Bacterial small subunit ribosomal RNA", at positions 28 to 507 of the family's 1533-position model. The record is from RNAcentral.